AACUUUCAGUAUGUGAAAUACCAGACAUACCUUUGGUAGCCUUACAGUAUAUCCAAUCACAUGUCUGAAUCUGCUCUUCAUUUUCUGAGUCUGGCUGCUCUGGCUAAGACAGGAAGCAGCUACCAUGAGAAAGUCUCACAAAGGCUUUAGUAGUAAAGAAUAAUAUACCAAGUGUCUGCUAAGGGGAGCAGGCUGCCGAUGACCCAUCGUCACAUUUGUUUGUUUUGCUGUGGUUGACAGAUCAGGUCAGGUUUUUCUUCCUGUAUCUCCUCCCUCUCUCAUCACAAGGACACACCGUUUAACCUAGAUUAGUGUGAGUAUGUUAAAGCGACGGUCUGAAAGGAAAAUUAGGUCCCAGUGUUUGCCUACAGCAUCUUAGGCCAUUUGCUCCACCUACUCCCCCCACUUCAACCCACUCACACACACAGUAAGACACACCCACAUACCAACACAUUCCUUCACAAUACUAAUGUAAUUGGACAACUGGAAAUAGUAAUUAUAACCCAACCAGUGAAUCAAACCAGCCAUUAAUGGGAUGUUUUAAUUUGGGCGUUUUUGUUGUGGAUUUCCACUUUACAUACUUCUGUCGCUUUCUACAAUUUGAAGAAACUCCCACGCAAAACCUUUGUUGUGGAUUUAAACCAACAGCAAUGAUUUAAAAGAACAUCUGAGUAGCAUUAGCAGAAAAUGCCAUAUGGGUCGGUGGGUCAGAAUCCUGGCAAUGAUAAAGGUCGACUUAACCUUUCACAAACUGUGGUUCCUUCAGGAGUACACAAUUGAAUCUAGUUGACAUCUUUAUUUCAAUCACAGCGUCAAACUCUCACCUGAGAGACGAGGUAUAUGGUGAUAUGACUUUGUUCCCUGAUGUUUCCAGUCAGGUGGUAGUGAGUCAGAGCUUUACCCUAGCCUUCUGUUCUGUUUGCAGUUAUCAGCAUUCACGUUUGCAAAAACAAAUUCCUACAGUGGGAACUCGUACAUGUACUACUGUAUCACCACCUUAAGCCACCUUAAGAGAUGUUGUAAUUUGAUAACAGUUGGACCUGUAACUCUGGCUUUAUCUCCUGUUAACCUGUUCAGUCAGUGCUGCAGUAUCAGCAUCGUGUGUCAGAGCUCAAACGUGUAACACUAUCAGCUGAACGCUGUUGGUUCAGGACGCAUGAAAAGGCCACUACCCACCAGGAAUAAUGGCUGGUAAAUUGUAUUAUCUCAUUCAAACAGCUGGGGGACAUUAUUACAAAGGUCAGUGGUGAUACGCUUCAGCUAGUUACAUUCAUCACUCCACCCAGGAAUAAACGAGUGUGUUUGAUCAUUUACAAGCAGAUAAACAUGUUCUAAAUAAACAUGUUCUCAGACUAUCACAAAGGUAGGAAGGUGGAAAUGUAAAGUUGCCCUUUAACUAACAUCCUUACCCUCAUUUCCUCUGUAUAAUGUAAUGUGUCCAGGUCACCAAUGAUGAACAUUAGAACCAGUGUAUAAUACAAUCAAGCACAUCUGCUGUCAGAAUGAUAACGAUCAUUCUGACCUGAUCCUGUUGUUUUCUCCAGCACAUGUAGAAGGUGUGCAGCGGUGUUUUUGUCCAGGCAGAGUUUAGUCGCCUCCCUGUGACUUGUGUUCUUCUGAACCAGAUACAGCUGUGGCAACACUCAGAACACACACAGCUGAGGUCAACCUUUUCCGGUGCCGCUCCUCCUCCUCCUCCUCCUCCUCCUCCUCUUCAUCCCUGCUCUGCUUCUUCUGUCCUGCCUGGCUUUGACUGUGAGUCCUGGGGAGCAUGUAAACUGCAGGAAUGUUGAAUGUGGUGGUGGACAGUGACUGCAUGUGGCCUUGAUAAAACCAGCGCAGGGAGGAGAGGGUUUUGAGUAACGUCAGAAAAAUGUCAGGGUGUGCUCUGUGCAUCUCUUUCUCCCAUUUUUUCUUGUCUCGUUUUGACUUUGGUCUCUGCUGUUGCUCCAUCUGCAGAUCAGUUUAUCAUGAGAGCUUGGCCUCUUGCUUUAUCCUCUUCACAUGUGCCUGCUUGCUUUAAUGCUCUCUCCUUCUGUUACCCCAUAUAAAUGUCCACAUAAGACUUCUUGGGGUGAGAGACUGCCGUGGUUUUAGUAAAACUGAAAGUAAAUCUCAUCUGGUCCCAAAGGCUUGAACGCCAUCUGAUAUCUAUACCUGAAUCUCAUUUGAUUCCAAAAUUGUUUAAUUUUACUGUCUUUCACUAUGCUGUGCUGUUUCAUAAUAGGGCUCCUGUGAGAGUUGUACGAGAGUCAACAUUGUGUGUUAGUUACUUGUUGGUAAUCUUGGUCUGUACUGAACGUCUCCUGUUGAAUGCUUUCCCACGUUUGACUCACUUCUCUCAGACAAAACCACCUUUUGUAGCGUUAAAUAAUCCCAGAGCGGCACACAAUGGAGCGAACCCAACCGCUUCAUGGUGUCAUGUCACAUCAUGUGUUGUGUAAGAUGAAAUGUGAGGCGUUGGCUCCGUGUGAGUUCUAGGCUGCCUCACAUGUGUCCAGAGAACGACACGUUGUGGCCGCUGGGGCAAAAGACGGAAAACCCGGUUCUUGUCAUUGUCAUGGACAAAAACAACACAAUUAAUCACUUCUGCUCCGAAUCAAACUUCAAGUUGUGGUUUAAUUGGGAUACUCAGUGUAGUCAGAGGCAGGUCAGAGCGAGUGUUCUGUGGAAAUACUAGGGAUGCACUUUUCCAAAUGCUUUUCAGCUGAUUUCAGCUCUUUUAUGUUAGAGAAAGUGUUUCCUCCCCUCAGCUGCUGCUGCUGAUGGUGCAUUAAAACCUCCUGUGAUCCACAGCAGAGCAUCAGUUUGAGAAUGAGCGAGCUCCCCUGAGACGCCUUCAACACUCCAGCCAGUCUUUUAAUCUGGACAAGAGGUUAGUUGUCCUCCAUAUGGCAGCGCAUUACAGAACCACAUGCAGACCCCAUCACUUUGAAGGAAGUCUAGUUUGUUGCCAAGUUGUGAGGGAAUGCGUCUCCCACAUGCCCCGUUACAGUGUCUGCCGAUAACACGGGCUCGUCCAGCUCCGCGCCGCGAUGCUGCUGGGAGGCGUUUAAGGGCUGACCAGGAGCACAUGUUGUGUUUAAGUGAUCUAACAAGCAUGUUACUGAUUAACAUUCCAUACACUGGUUGCGACACACAAGAACACUGCAUUGUCAGCAGGUACCAGGCCUCAGUUGGGGCAUUGUCUUUCAAUAUUGACUAUUAUUCGUAUUUGCUGACUGUGGAGCAGUGGAAGCAGUUUAGAAGUGUUGUAUCUCUCCUCUUUGCUUUCGCAUGAAUCUAACGAAGGCCGGGCCCCUGCCUUCACGCAUGCUGUCUAUCCACAUGCUUCUGCAUUCCUGUCUGAGCUGGCCCAGGGAACCGCUCUUUCACACUGAAGGAGAUUUCCACCUCCUCCUUUGCUGAGACGCAGACUAUACGAAGAGCUGGCUGCUUUUAUGUCCCAGGAGAACUUUAUCCGGACAGAUCAUUAGUGGUGUGUUGGCCCAAACGACAUGUCCUUGGACUGUGGGGGAAGAGAAAUCCUCAGGUUUGUACCUGUUGAGUUGAGCUCCUUCCACACCUCUGAGCUGUGACUGUAAAGAGGAAGCUCAGUUAAGCUUGUUUGUGCUUAUUCACUCACCCGAGGCCUGUGAUUAUAGGUGAAGGAGCUCUUGGGCUGAGAUGCUCUUCACAUCAUAUAUGAUGUGUACAUAUCAGCUGUGGCUCCAGGGAUGAUUGUCCACUAUUUGCAGCCGUUUGAUCUUUGACCCCUGGCGCGUCAAAGCUGUUCUGUUUCACCAGUUCCUGAAUUACUAACUUGCAACAAACUGGCAAUAUAUUUUAUUAUACCUGGAUAGACCACCUGUUACUUAGUGCACGGUUAAAGCCCUGGAAGUAGAAGUGGAAGUCCUGCUCGUUAGCCUGACGAGGAAAGUGCUUGUGCUGCUGUUAAAGAAUGGAAAAAGACUGUUUUGAUCGCUUUUUCUAAUUAAGUAGCUUUGACUCUGUUUAUUGAGUUAAUAAUGUUUCUGCCUCCAAUGCAGUUAAAUUACAGCUAAAGCGCCUGUGUUUCACCGGCUCUGUGUGGUUGUCAUGGUAACGGCACAAAGCCUGCGGUUGGCAUGGAGAUGACAUCCCUGAGAGGAGAGGACCGCUAGCAGUACUUUGGCUGACCUUUUCCUCAUGUUAUGUCAUGGUGUUCCAACAACUAAGCAACUAAAACCUUUAAGACAAGCAAACAUUGUUGUGAUUGGAGUGAUUUGGUGCCACGCGUCAGCUGAGGUCGGAUAAUGGCAUUGCUCGGAUUCAUUCCUCGUGUCUGCAAGGACGACAUUCUUUCUGACCUGUGUGCUGUCUGCAGCACUUCACUCCACAAAUGUAACCGGGCCGAGUCACAGGGGGAAUGAUACAGCUGCUCCACAGCAUAAGGACUGGUGUGAAUGACUGUAAUGUCACAGUCAGAUACAGAACGGGACUCACAAAGCUUCAAGAAACGAUACAAAGCGAAAAAAAUGCUAUUCAAACAUUGAUGCUGCUCCUUUUAACAUGCUGGAGUUUGGGAAGUAUGUUUUAUCUUUAUCUAGUUCCAGCUAAUAAGUGAUAAUGUAAAUAUUUUAAUAUAUAGAGUCUUUUAAUAAAACUAUUAACAUGUCUGACAUGAAGGUGGAUUUAUUUGUUCAGCAUCUCCUUCACUGAAGGCUCAUUCUGAGCUCUGGACCUAUUGGAGAUGUUCAUCUUUCAUCUGUCAGUUACACUUGGACAGAAUCUGCUCAGCGGUGCCUUGUUUCCGCUCGUUUUUACGUUGUUGUCCUUUUGGUUUCUCCCUUUCUUUUUCUUUGCUUCAGCUUAAAUGUCACUAAAAACAGGAUCUGUUACUAUGCAGAAGCAUGUGGAUAAACUAGAUUCAGUCUCUCCGUCUGCUUCGUCACCCACUUUUUAUCUACCAGCUAAUCUGUAAAGCUGCGUUUCGUGUCUUUCUUGAAAGUGAUUGUCAACAUAGAACAAAUAUUCCACCAGUUCACUGUGGUGCUUGACACCGACAUCAGUCCCUUUUCUCUCUCUGUCUCUCUCUGUCUCUCUGUCUCUCUCUCUCUCUCUCUCUCUCUCUUCCAUCCAUCAAGCCUCAUUUGUCCUGUUUCUGUUUUCUGCACUGAGUUGAUGUGACUUUACUCAUCUACUUGGUCACUGUGUUCUUGUCCUCGUAUUAUUUCAGUCACAUUUCGCCAUCUUGGAUUUGAAAACCACAACCUGCCAAAUAUUUUUCCUACUCACUAUUCAGGAGAGUAUCUUAGCGGUCCUGAAGGAAAAUGAGGGUGUUGUGUGGUUUUCGCUGUAGCAGUGAAGUCAUUACAUUCUAGUGGCUUCGCUUUCACAUACUAACCCAGCACGGUUUCACUCUCACACCCACAUAAACCCAGUCACCUCCAGCACAUCGUGAAGCGUUAGGCAGCACCUUUUCCAACUGGAGACAGGAGCUUGUGCCAGGUCAUUUCAGUCCAGUGUUUGCGUUGGGGAUCUAAUCGUUAGUGGCAGAUGAAGGCUAAGGACCUCCUGAGAAGAGUAAACCUUGAGGAGAACAGUGCAGCCAUGUUGUCAUCCUGUGGGCUGCUCUGAUGAAUGAAGACGUGCCACGUCUGUAGCAACAGUAAAAUCUUCCUUCUUCUGCUGAUUAAUUGCACACUCAGCACAUGUUGAUGUACAUUAUCUUAGACUGAAGAGGCUUCUCCAGUUUGAACAGGCCUCCACUCCAGAGUUAAACAGGGACAACGAUGUAAUGAUGUGCAAAUGCAGAGGUUUAAUGUUUAUAGAAAACUGCAGGUUUUGCAUAAAAACACGCUGUAAACAUGUACAAGCAUCCCAGAGGAUCACCUCCGUUCCCACUUAUGCAUCAAGAGGAAAGAUGGUAAAUGGGAUUCAUAGAAGUGCUGCACUUCCCGACCCCGUCCUGCAGUGACCUCAGGUCCACAGGCCUGUGGGAAUGGGGAAUGAAGCAGAUGCCUGAGUUCACUGGCCCUGAUGCUUGUGGUCAGUUAAUCUGGACGAGGCUCAUUCUGUUGCUCUUUGUCUCAUAUCUACACAUGAAGUGUCGCUUUACAAACAUAAAUCGUUCCUGUCAUUAAGUGGUGUACAGAUCUUUACUGAGGUGUUUCAUUUAUUGAAGCACGCCGCCGUCGUGGUGCUAAACAGGCUUUGCUUCAUUUGUCUUCGCAGAUCCCUUUCCCACCCUUCAUGCUUCAUCCUCCCCCAUUCGCUGCCUCUUCCCCCUCGUUAGUCCGACACCGAGUUCUAAUUUCCACCCAUCACAGGCUCGUGAAGCUGUCGCCAUAAAACAUGCGGUAGCCGGUCUGGUUGGAAAAGAUAAACAAAUCUGGUGACUUUACAGAUCGCUGCUCGUGUAUCACCGAGCAUUCGGUGACUCAGAGGAGGCAAAGGCUUAUGGUGCGACGGGGAGUCGUCUUUUAUUUUGUAGCAUAAACAUAAUGGUGAGUGUGUUCGUGAGCAAAGCUGCCUUUGUGUCGAGUUUGAGCUUAGUAGAUGCAGGAAUGUUGUGUGGAACCCCCUACAGCUCACAUCCACGGACGUGAGCGCCUCGUCUUUAUGUCCCACAGACGUGCUCCAGUAUGUGGCCGUGCACGCUCUCCUCUCAUGUGGAAAACAGAAUGCUUGAAUGUAGGUCAGCGCCACAGACUCCACUACACGCCUCCUCGCUGGAACAGGCUGCAAGUGCUGUUCAUGCUUUCCCACACUUCUGCCAGGCAUUCCAUAGGAAAUCCAGAGCGGCGUGAAGUCACAGUGAAGCGAUGAGGCGCGCACGCGGUGCCCGCGGAUGGACCGGACCCCGCUAGCGGCACGCGCUGCUGGUUCUGGUUCUGGUUCUGCUGGUUCUGCUGGUUCUGAGGCGGCGUGAAGCUGCCGCUCGGGCGCUGACGUCACCGCAGUCUGUGUGCAGUCUCCUCAUCACUAGAAACUAGAGCCCUGGCACAAAACGCAGGCGCUUUCACUUCUCUGUCUGUGAAAUGUGCAGCUUUACAGCCUUUAAGGUCUGUUCACUGUACCACACACAUUACACAGAAACCCACACCCGCCCAAAGAACCGCUUUAGACCCUAACUUCUAUUUUAGGUUUUCAUAAGCACAUUUUACAGCUUGUGUCUGACUCAAUACAUCAUUUUGUCACCAACAGCUCAUUAAAGCAGACGCGAAGAUUUGACAGCUCCUCACAUGAAUUAGGUUCUUCCUUGUGUUUCACUUCACAGGUUCAUCCACAGCUCACAACCUAAAAAUCAUCUAUAGCAUUAAAAUAAGUCCAUGUACUUUACUCUGAUAUUGAAUAAAUGAUAUGGAAUGAGGUUUUUGACUAUAUUGUGGUGGAGGUUCAACUUACAGUUAAUUCUUAUUAUUAAUCCAGAAAAAUUCUAUGCUUGAUUAUUGUGUGAUUUAACAUGUCAUUGCCCUGAUUAACAGUCUGGGAGGUGUUUCCCCACUAAUGCUCUCGGUGGUUCUUGGCCCGACGCAG
This is a long non-coding RNA of Betta splendens (Siamese fighting fish), 7500 nucleotides long. RefSeq lists it as uncharacterized. The transcript has 2 exons. Lineage: Eukaryota; Metazoa; Chordata; Actinopteri; Anabantiformes; Osphronemidae. The record is from RefSeq and is a predicted model, not a curated record.